AUAGCGUUCUAGAAAAAAAAGAAAAAAAAGGUAGCCGCACAACACAAACAAAAGGGGAGAGCAAUAGAAAGUAGCCGCCGGAAAGAGAGAAAAUCAGGGAGGAAAGAACAAAAACAGAGGAAAAAAGAAAAAGAAGAAAAAACAGAGAGAGGGUAAAGGAGGAGAAAUCGAGAGAGGGCUUUGUGUGAGGGAGAAAGGUGCCGCACAAAACAUGAACGGAAAGCUAGAUCGGAAGGAGUAAGAUCGGGAAAGGCUGCAGUCAGGCACAGAAGAGAAGAAGAGAAGCAGAAUCGGGAAAGACCAAACACCAUUAUGAAAAAAAAAAAAAAAACAACAAUUUUCAAGCUUCAUACUACAAGGUCAUGGGACUUCAUGGGUUUCACCCCAAGGCAAGCUGCCAAAGCCGCAACAAGGAAAGGUCAUCAUUGGAGUUCUUGACAUAGGUCAUUACAAUGAACACUGGAUUAAGUUCUGCUAAUGGAAAGGAAGAUGCGUAGGGGCCAGUUUUACCUGUAUCAAGUAAGAGCUAGCUCUUUCUUCCCCUCAUAAAUAGCAAUCACAAGGGGACAUCUUUCUUACUAGACUAAAGAGAGAAGAAAAAACGGUACCCUUUAGUUUAUGUAAUUCUUCAUGUUAAUUUCUUGUCAUUAUAUAUGUAUGGAGUAUGACCGUUGGAGAAGGUGUUGGCGGUCUUUCCAUGAGAUGAAAUAUGACAUUUUGACCAUUAAAUACUUCGUGUCA
Molecule: long non-coding RNA, 741 nt
Organism: Tripterygium wilfordii
Lineage: Eukaryota; Viridiplantae; Streptophyta; Magnoliopsida; Celastrales; Celastraceae
Exons: 2
Source: RefSeq, a predicted model, not a curated record